Molecule: ribosomal RNA, 447 nt
Filed under: uncultured bacterium
Lineage: Bacteria
Description: partial 16S ribosomal RNA
Rfam family: Bacterial small subunit ribosomal RNA
Source: RNAcentral
UGGCCAGACUCCUACGGGAGGCAGCAGUGGGGAAUAUUGCACAAUGGGGGGAACCCUGAUGCAGCGACGCCGCGUGGGUGAAGAAGUCAUUCGUGACGUAAAGCUCUAUCAGCAGGGAAGAAAAUGACGGUACCUGACUAAGAAGCCACGGCUAGCUACGUGCCAGCAGCCGCGGUAAUACGUAGGUGGCAAGCGUUAUCCGGAUUUAUUGGGUGUAAAGGGGGCGCAGACGGCGAUGCAAGCCAGGAGUGAAAGCCCGGGGCCCAACCCCGGGACUGCUCUUGGAACUGCGUGGCUGGAGUGCAGGAGGGGCAGGCGGAAUUCCUGGUGUAGCGGUGAAAUGCGUAGAUAUCAGGAGGAACACCGGUGGCGAAGGCGGCCUGCUGGGCUUUUACUGACGCUGAGGCUCGAAAGUGUGGGGAGCAAACAGGAUUAGAUACCCGAGUA